UCCGAUAUGGUGUAACGGCUAACAUUACCGCCUUUCAUAUAAUGACUUGCGAAAGUUAUGUGCGCGGUAGCUCGGGGUUCGAUUCCCCGUAUCGGAA
Coprinopsis sp. MPI-PUGE-AT-0042 is the source of this 97-nucleotide non-coding RNA. NCBI's taxonomy places the organism in Eukaryota, Fungi, Basidiomycota, Agaricomycetes, Agaricales, Psathyrellaceae. The record is from the annotation of a GenBank genome assembly.